RNAcentral lists this long non-coding RNA (297 nucleotides) under Gossypium barbadense (sea-island cotton). RNAcentral's name for it is "long non-coding RNA (GBAR_LNC016048)". The record is from RNAcentral. Lineage: Eukaryota; Viridiplantae; Streptophyta; Magnoliopsida; Malvales; Malvaceae.
GUUGAAGUCAACCCCCAUGCAGCAGCCAAGGUGACCAUGCAAGGUGGCCAUGCAGGGAUCGUGCUUUAACAGCAAACCGAAACUGCAUUGUUUCAUUUGGUUACUCAAAUGAACAUUUUGUGUUUUAGUUUGUUUUGAACUAAGUUGGUAACUGUAUUUUGAUGUAAUUAGGUGCUGAAUGACAAGUUUAGGUAGAAGUUUAUGUUUUCAAUCAAGUUUACCAAGUUACUAGGCAAUUUAGUGGUGUUAGGUAUGUUAUUAGGUGGUAACUUGUUUGUUUUGCUGUUGUUAUCUCAU